UUUCCGUAAGUGAACCUGCGGAAGGAUCAUUACCGAGUGAGGGCCCUCUGGGUCCAACCUCCCACCCGUGUUUAUUAUACCUUGUUGCUUUGGCGGGCCCGCCUCACGGCCGCCGGGGGCUUCUGCCCCCGGGCCCGUGCCCGCCGAAGACACCUUAGAACUCUGUCUGAAGAUUGUAGUCUGAGUAAAAAUAUAAAUUAUUUAAAACUUUCAACAACGGAUCUCUUGGUUCCG
RNAcentral lists this unclassified non-coding RNA (234 nucleotides) under plant metagenome. Its description in RNAcentral is "partial contains small subunit ribosomal RNA, internal transcribed spacer 1, and 5.8S ribosomal RNA". The record is from RNAcentral.